UACGAAGGGGACUAGCGUUGUUCAGAAUUACUGGGCGUAAAGCGCACGUAGGCGGAUUGCUAAGUCAGGGGUGAAAUCCCGGGGCUCAACCUCGGAACUGCCUUUGAUACUGACAAUCUCGAGUCCGAUAGAGGUGGGUGGAAUUCCUAGUGUAGAGGUGAAAUUCGUAGAUAUUAGGAAGAACACCGGUGGCGAAGGCGGCCCACUGGAUCGGUACUGACGCUGAGGUGCGAAAGCGUGGGGAGCAAACAGG
RNAcentral lists this ribosomal RNA (253 nucleotides) under uncultured bacterium. RNAcentral describes it as "partial 16S ribosomal RNA". It matches the Rfam family "Bacterial small subunit ribosomal RNA", at positions 524 to 776 of the family's 1533-position model. The record is from RNAcentral.